UUGAUCCUGGGUCAUGACAACGCUGGCGGCGUGCCUCAUACAUGCAAGUCGAACGAGAAACUCUAGCUUGCUAGAGUGGAAAGUGGCGGACGGGUGAGUAAUGUGUAGGAAAUCUGCCCUAGAGUGGGGGACAACAGAGGGAAACUCCUGCUAAUACCCCAUAUGAGCCUGGCUGCUCUGCCAGUCUUGAAAACUCCGGUGCUCUAGGAUGAGCCUGCAUCUGAUUAGCUUGUUGGCGCCCCCCCCCGCCCCCCCAGGCGACGAUCAGUAUUCUUUUUUUGAGAGGAUGAUCAGGCGCCCUGUGACUGAGACACGGCCCCAUACUCCUACGGGAGGCAGCAGUAGGGGAAUUUUGCGCAAUGUGCGAAAGCCUGACGCAGCAACGCCGCGUGUACGUUAAGCCCCUCGGGGUGUAAAGUACUGUCAGUGGGGACGAAUUUUGACGGUACCCACAGAGGAAGCACCGGCUAACUCCGUGCCAGCAGCCGCGGUAAUACAGAGGGUGCAAGCGUUGUCCGGAAUCAUCUGGGCGUAUAGCGUUCGUAGGCGGCAUAUCAAGUCCUGGUGUUAAGGCCGGGGCCUAACUCCUGGUCCGGCACUGGUAUACUGUUAGCUUGCAUGCCGCAGAGGGUGAGGUAUUUCUGUCUACGGUGAAUGCUUAGAAAUAUCAAGGAGGAACCAUCCCUGUGGUGCUCGUG
This 698-nucleotide ribosomal RNA is filed under the name uncultured bacterium. Its description in RNAcentral is "bacterial SSU rRNA". It matches the Rfam family "Bacterial small subunit ribosomal RNA", at positions 13 to 729 of the family's 1533-position model. The record is from RNAcentral.